UACGUAGGGGGCAAGCGUUGUCCGGAAUCAUUGGGCGUAAAGCGCGUGUAGGCGGCUCGGUAAGUCUGCUCUGAAAGCCCGGGGCUCAACCCCGGGAGGCGGGUGGAUACUGUCUAGCUCGAGUCCGGAAGAGGAGUGUGGAAUUCCUGGUGUAGCGGUGAAAUGCGCAGAUAUCAGGAGGAACACCAAUGGCGAAGGCAGCACUCUGGGACGUGACUGACGCUGAGACGCGAAAGCGUGGGGAGCAAACAGG
This 253-nucleotide ribosomal RNA is filed under the name uncultured bacterium. RNAcentral describes it as "partial 16S ribosomal RNA". It matches the Rfam family "Bacterial small subunit ribosomal RNA", at positions 524 to 776 of the family's 1533-position model. The record is from RNAcentral.